This 495-nucleotide ribosomal RNA is filed under the name uncultured Bacteroidota bacterium. RNAcentral's name for it is "bacterial SSU rRNA". It matches the Rfam family "Bacterial small subunit ribosomal RNA", at positions 8 to 500 of the family's 1533-position model. Lineage: Bacteria; Pseudomonadati; Bacteroidota. The record is from RNAcentral.
AGGCUUUGAUCCUGGCUCAGGAUGAACGCUAGCGGCAGGCCUAAUACAUGCAAGUCGAACGGUAACAGGGUAGCAAUACCGCUGACGAGUGGCGCACGGGUGCGUAACGCGUAUGCAACUUACCUCUAACUGGGGGAUAGCCCUUCGAAAGAAGGAUUAAUACCCCAUAGUAUUUGAGAAUCGCAUGAUUUCCAGAUUAAAGCUCCGGCGGUUAGAGAUGGGCAUGCGUGACAUUAGCUAGUUGGUGAGGUAACGGCUCACCAAGGCGACGAUGUCUAGGGGUUCUGAGAGGAUGAUCCCCCACACUGGUACUGAGACACGGACCAGACUCCUACGGGAGGCAGCAGUAAGGAAUAUUGGUCAAUGGACGCAAGUCUGAACCAGCCAUGCCGCGUGCAGGAUGACAGCCCUAUGGGUCGUAAACUGCUUUUGUACGGGAAUAAACCCUUCUACGUGUAGAAGGCUGAAGGUACCGUAAGAAUAAGGAUCGGCGUA